AUAUUCCGAGCUUGGCUAUGCAGGCAACACUGAGCCUGCAUAGUUUACUAUUCUUUCAUGCAUUUCUGUCAGAGAGUCAGCAAAGGUAGUUGACAAAGCCCAAGGGAGAAUGUUGAGGGGAGUUGAUGAGCUUGACUUUUUCAUACAGGAUGAAGCCAUUGAUAAAUCUACGUAUGCUACAAAGUGGUCAAUAUGACAUGGAGUCACUGAAGACUGGGAUAUUAUGGAAAGGUUCAUGGAGCAAGUGGUUUUUAAAUAUUUUGAGCAGAAUCUGAGGACCAUUAUUUUGCAAUGACAGAACUUCCACUGAAUACACUAGAAAAUACAGAACAUUUUUGCAGAAAUUAUGUUUGAAUUAUUUAAUGUACCAGGAUUCUACAUUGCAGUUCAGGAGGUACUAGCCUUGGAAGUAUCUUGGACAUCUCAACAAGUGGGUGAAUAUAUGUUAAUGAGUAUAGUCAUUGACAAAGGAGAUGGAGUCACCCUUGUUCUCCCAGUUGUAGAAGGUUAUGUAAUUGGGAGCUGCAUCAAUCACAUCCUGAUUGUAGGUGAUACUGUGUAUUUCAUUCAACAACUACUAAGGGAGAGGGAGGUAGGAAUCCCUCUUGAGCAGUCACUGGAGACCACAAAAGCCAUUAAGGAGAAAUACUGUUACAUUUGCCCUGAUAUAGUCAAGGAAUUUGCUAAGUAUGAUGUGGAUCCCUGGAAGUGGAUCAAACAGUACACAGGUAUCAAUGUGAUCAACCAGGAGAAGUUCAUAAUAGAUGUUGGUUACAAAAGGUUCCUGCAACCUGAAAUAUUUUUUUACCCAGAGUUUGCCAACCCAGACUUUAUGGAAUCCGUCUUGAAUGUUGUUGAUGAAUACAAAACUGUCCCAUUGAUGUGCAUUGUCCACUGUAUAAGAAUGUUGUUCUUUCAAGGGGUUUGACCAUAUUCAGGGAUUUGAAUCUCAACUACAGAGAGAUUUGAAGAGUGGUACAUGCCAGAUUAAAACUCAGUAAGGAGCUCAGUGGCAGGAGAAUCAAACCUAAGCUUACAGAGUUUCGGGUGGUAAUCCAUCACAUGCAGCACUAUGCCUUAUGGUUUGGAAGCUUAAUGCUAGCCUCAACUCUGGAGUUAUUUCAGGUCUGUCACACCAAGAAGGACUAUAAAGAAUAUGGCCCCAGCAUCUGCCACCAGAGCCUUCUCUUUGGAGUAAUGUCUUAGUGUCUGCCUUGAAAGCAUCAUUUAAUAGUGUCAUGUUGGGGAACAAGUGUCCUUCAGAACCCAGAGAAGACUACCAUUUCUAAAUGACAUUUGGUGUUGACGUCUGAGCAGUAUGCUUGCAUCACCUAGUGCAUGAGGCACAGGGCAGAGUCAUUUCAGUAAAAGCCUGUCUUUAUGUGUUGACUGCUGUAUGCCCACUCCUCCUUCUCUCACUCCCUUUCUUCAUGCUUCCCCGGUUUCCCUCCUCCUUUUAACUUCAACUUUUUUGUUGACAAAUACCAUUCUGAAGGAAUUCAAAUGUGACUCUGAAAAUUGUUAAGAGGAAAAAAAAUUACAAAAAUGGCCCAAAAUAGUUCUCCCCCAGGAAAGAAUGCAGUGGUAUAAAUCCUUUUCCCCCAGCCUAUUUUUAUAAAUAAAACGUUAUAAACUUAAAAUACAAA
This is an RNA transcript of Homo sapiens (human), 1646 nucleotides long. It is a transcript of the gene named ACTR3B pseudogene 5, with no coding region annotated. The transcript has a single exon. The record is from RefSeq and is marked validated. NCBI's taxonomy places the organism in Eukaryota, Metazoa, Chordata, Mammalia, Primates, Hominidae.